Molecule: ribosomal RNA, 117 nt
Filed under: Sinocyclocheilus anshuiensis
Lineage: Eukaryota; Metazoa; Chordata; Actinopteri; Cypriniformes; Cyprinidae
Source: RNAcentral
UCCGGCAGCCAUAUCACCCUGUAGCCCAAGACUGGUUGCCCACUGAAGCUAAGCAGGGCUGAGCAUGGUCAGUACCUGGAUGAGAGACCUCCUGGGAAAACUAGGUUGCUGCUAGAA